AGCUCCAAUAGCGUAUAUUAAAGUUGUUGCGGUAAAAAGCUCGUAGUUGGAUUUCUACCGAAGAUAGCCGGUCGGGUCUUCGACCUUGUAUCUGGUUUUGUCUUUGGUAUCCUCAUGGGGAACGUUGCUGCGCUUCAUUGCGUGGUGCGGUAUCCAUGACUUUUACUUUGAGGAAAUUAGAGUGUUCACGGCAGGCAAACGCCCUGAAUAUAUUAGCAUGGAAUAAUAACAUAGGAUCUUCGUCCUAUUUUGUUGGUUUCUAGGGCUAAGAUAAUGAUUAAUAGGGAUAAUUGGGGGCAUCUGUAUCAACGCGUCAGAGGUGGAAUUCUUGGAUUGCGUUGCGACAAACUACUGCGAAAGCAUUUGCCAAGGAUGUUUUCA
RNAcentral lists this ribosomal RNA (381 nucleotides) under uncultured eukaryote. RNAcentral's name for it is "SSU rRNA". It matches the Rfam family "Eukaryotic small subunit ribosomal RNA", at positions 587 to 972 of the family's 1831-position model. The record is from RNAcentral.